GAUGAACGCUGGCGGCGUGCUUAACACAUGCAAGUCGAACGGAAAGGCCCAAGCUUGCUUGGGUUCUCGAGUGGCGAACGGGUGAGUAACACGUGGGUGAUCUGCCCUGCACUUCGGGAUAAGCCUGGGAAACUGGGUCUAAUACCGGAUAGGACCACAUUUUGGAUGGUGUGGUGGAAAGUUUUUCGGUGUGGGAUGAGCUCGCGGCCUAUCAGCUUGUUGGUGGGGUAAUGGCCUACCAAGGCGUCGACGGGGAGCCGGCCUGAGAGGGUGUACGGCCACAUUGGGACUGAGAUACGGCCCAGACUCCUACGGGAGGCAGCAGUGGGGAAUAUUGGACAAUGGGCGCAAGCCUGAUGCAGCGACGCCGCGUGGGGGAUGACGGCCUUCGGGUUGUAAACUCCUUUCGCUAGGGACGAAGCGUUUUUGUGACGGUACCUGGAGAAGAAGCACCGGCUAACUACGUG
Molecule: ribosomal RNA, 467 nt
Filed under: uncultured bacterium
Lineage: Bacteria
Description: partial 16S ribosomal RNA
Rfam family: Bacterial small subunit ribosomal RNA
Source: RNAcentral